CGGAAGGUCCACUCCUCCGAGCUCUUUUAGAUAGUAUGUUCCGGGCCAGACUACCUCCCUGACUUCAUACGGGCCUUCCCAGUUUGGGACAAGUUUCUCUUGGUUCUGAGGUUAUGAAACAGUGGCUCGCCGAAGUACUAAGUCCCCCACUCUGAAGGCUUUGCUCUUGAUCCGGGAGUUGUAGUAGCGGGCUGCUUUCUUCUUGUAGGCUGCCAUCCGAACUUGAGCGAUCUCUCACUUUUCUUCUAACAAGUC
Molecule: long non-coding RNA, 255 nt
Filed under: Elaeis guineensis (African oil palm)
Lineage: Eukaryota; Viridiplantae; Streptophyta; Magnoliopsida; Arecales; Arecaceae
Description: long non-coding RNA (EGUI_LNC080972)
Source: RNAcentral